RNAcentral lists this ribosomal RNA (262 nucleotides) under uncultured bacterium. RNAcentral describes it as "partial 16S ribosomal RNA". It matches the Rfam family "Bacterial small subunit ribosomal RNA", at positions 793 to 1055 of the family's 1533-position model. The record is from RNAcentral.
GUCCACGCCGUAAACGUUGGGCACUAGGUGUGGGAGGCUGUCAACGCCUUCCGUGCCGUAGCUAACGCAUUAAGUGCCCCGCCUGGGGAGUACGGCCGCAAGGCUAAAACUCAAAGGAAUUGACGGGGGCCCGCACAAGCGGCGGAGCAUGUUGCUUAAUUCGAUGCAACGCGAAGAACCUUACCUGGGUUUGACAUGUAGGGAAAAGCCAUAGAGAUAUGGUGUCCUUCGGGGCCCUACACAGGUGGUGCAUGGCUGUCGU